This is a long non-coding RNA of Cyprinodon tularosa, 228 nucleotides long. RefSeq lists it as uncharacterized. NCBI's taxonomy places the organism in Eukaryota, Metazoa, Chordata, Actinopteri, Cyprinodontiformes, Cyprinodontidae. The record is from RefSeq and is a predicted model, not a curated record. The transcript is spliced from 2 exons.
AACUGCUGACCUAGAAGCAUUCCAGAACCAUAUUCUGAUGUAUGCCAGCAAGCGUCAUGCUUUCAGUCCCCCAGUUUAUGAGGCAAGAGUUCUGCUGGCUGCUCUUGACUACAACUUCCAUCGGAACCGACCUACAAUGAAAACAGCCGAAGGCAAAGAGAUUUUCAGAAGGCUGUACAACAAAAACGCCAGAAGAUACAGUGUAUAUGCCCUGAAAUCUGAAAAAAA